CCUACGGGAGGCAGCAGUGGGGAAUAUUGCACAAUGGGGGAAACCCUGAUGCAGCGACGCCGCGUGAGUGAAGAAGUAAUUCGUUACGUAAAGCUCUAUCAUCAGGGAAGAAAUACUUACCUUACGGUCAGCAGACGGUACCUGCUUAAGAAGCCCCGGCUAACUACGUGCCAGCCGCCGCGGUAAUACGUAGGGGGCAAGCUUUAUCUGGAUUGACUGGGUGGAAAGGGAGCGUAGAAAGUGCGACAAGUCUGGAGUGAAAUGCCGCAGCUUAACUGCGGCACUGCUUUGGAAACUGGCGAACUAGAGGGCGGGAGGGGGAAGAGGAAUUCCCAGUGUAGCGGUGAAAUGCGGAGAUAUUAGGAGGAACACCGGUGGCGAAGGCGGCUCACUGGAACGUAACUGACGUUGAGGC
This 415-nucleotide ribosomal RNA is filed under the name uncultured bacterium. RNAcentral describes it as "partial 16S ribosomal RNA". It matches the Rfam family "Bacterial small subunit ribosomal RNA", at positions 338 to 752 of the family's 1533-position model. The record is from RNAcentral.